GGGUCCAUAGCUCAGUUGGUAGAGCAACCGACUUUUAAUCGGUAGGUCGCGGGUUCGAGUCCCUCUGGACCCACCA
Molecule: transfer RNA, 76 nt
Filed under: Calidithermus terrae
Lineage: Bacteria; Thermotogati; Deinococcota; Deinococci; Thermales; Thermaceae
Also listed under: 2 other names
Description: Meiothermus terrae tRNA-Lys
Rfam family: tRNA
About the family: Transfer RNA (tRNA) molecules are approximately 80 nucleotides in length.
Source: RNAcentral